AUGAACGCUGGCGGCGUGCCUAAUACAUGCAAGUCGAGCGAACAGACGAGGAGCUUGCUCCUCUGACGUUAGCGGCGGACGGGUGAGUAACCCGUGGAUAACCUACCUAUAAGACUGGGAUAACUUCGGGAAACCGGAGCUAAUACCGGAUAAUAUAUUGAACCGCAUGGUUCAAUAGUGAAAGACGGUUUUGCUGUCACUUAUAGAUGGAUCCGCGCCGCAUUAGCUAGUUGGUAAGGUAACGGCUUACCAAGGCAACGAUGCGUAGCCGACCUGCGAGGGUGAUCGGCCACACUGGAACUGAGACACGGUCCAGACUCCUACGGGAGGCACCAGUAGGGAAUCUUCCGCAAUGGGCGAAAGCCUGACGGAGCAACGCCGCGUGAGUGAUGAAGGUCUUCGGAUCGUAAAACUCUGUUAUUAGGGAAGAACAAAUGUGUAAGUAACUAUGCACGUCUUGACGGUACCUAAUCAGAAAGCCACGGCUAACUACGUG
Molecule: ribosomal RNA, 496 nt
Filed under: uncultured bacterium
Lineage: Bacteria
Description: partial 16S ribosomal RNA
Rfam family: Bacterial small subunit ribosomal RNA
Source: RNAcentral